Molecule: ribosomal RNA, 468 nt
Filed under: uncultured bacterium
Lineage: Bacteria
Description: partial 16S ribosomal RNA
Rfam family: Bacterial small subunit ribosomal RNA
Source: RNAcentral
GACGAACGCUGGCGGCGUGCUUAACACAUGCAAGUCGAACGGAAAGGCCCUGCUUUUGUGGGGUGCUCGAGUGGCGAACGGGUGAGUAACACGUGAGUAACCUGCCCUUGACUUUGGGAUAACUUCAGGAAACUGGGGCUAAUACCGGAUAGGAGCUCCUGCUGCAUGGUGGGGGUUGGAAAGUUUCGGCGGUUGGGGAUGGACGCGCGGCUUAUCAGCUUGUUGGUGGGGUAGUGGCUUACCAAGGCUUUGACGGGUAGCCGGCCUGAGAGGGUGACCGGCCACAUUGGGACUGAGAGAGGGACCAGACUCCUACGGGAGGCAGCAGGGGGGAAUAUUGCACAAGGGGCGGAAGCGUGAUGCAGAAACGCCGCGUGCGGGAUGACGGCCUGCGGGUUGUAAACCGCUUUCGCCUGUGACGAAGCGGGAGUGACGGUAAUGGGUAAAGAAGCACCGGCUAACUACGUG